UGGGGAAUUUUGGACAAUGGGCGAAAGCCUGAUCCAGCAAUGCCGCGUGUGUGAAGAAGGCCUUCGGGUUGUAAAGCACUUUUGUCCGGAAAGAAAUCCUUGGCUCUAAUACAGUCGGGGGAUGACGGUACCGGAAGAAUAAGCACCGGCUAACUACGUGCCAGCAGCCGCGGUAAUACGUAGGGUGCAAGCGUUAAUCGGAAUUACUGGGCGUAAAGCGUGCGCAGGCGGUUUGCUAAGACCGAUGUGAAAUCCCCGGGCUCAACCUGGGAACUGCAUUGGUGACUGGCAGGCUAGAGUAUGGCAGAGGGGGGUAGAAUUCCACGUGUAGCAGUGAAAUGCGUAGAGAUGUGGAGGAAUACCGAUGGCGAAGGCAGCCCCCUGGGCCAAUACUGACGCUCAUGCACGAAAGCGUGGGGGAGCAAAACAGGAUUAGAUACCCUGGUAGUCCACGCCCUAAAACGAUGUCAACUAGUUGUUGGGGAUUCAUUUCCUUAGUAACGUAGCUAACGCGUGAAGUUGACCGCCUGGGGGAGUACGGUCGCAAAGAUUAAAAACUCAAA
Molecule: ribosomal RNA, 563 nt
Filed under: uncultured bacterium
Lineage: Bacteria
Description: partial 16S ribosomal RNA
Rfam family: Bacterial small subunit ribosomal RNA
Source: RNAcentral